GGUUAAGCGACUAAGCGUACACGGUGGAUGCCCUGGCAGUCAGAGGCGAUGAAGGACGUGCUAAUCUGCGAUAAGCGUCGGUAAGGUGAUAUGAACCGUUAUAACCGGCGAUUUCCGAAUGGGGAAACCCAGUGUGAUUCGUCACACUAUCAUUAACUGAAUCCAUAGGUUAAUGAGGCGAACCGGGGGAACUGAAACAUCUAAGUACCCCGAGGAAAAGAAAUCAACCGAGAUUCCCCCAGUAGCGGCGAGCGAACGGGGAGCAGCCCAGAGCCUGAAUCAGUGUGUGUGUUAGUGGAAGCGUCUGGAAAGGCGCGCGAUACAGGGUGACAGCCCCGUACACAAAAAUGCACAUGCUGUGAGCUCGAUGAGUAGGGCGGGACACGUGGUAUCCUGUCUGAAUAUGGGGGGACCAUCCUCCAAGGCUAAAUACUCCUGACUGACCGAUAGUGAACCAGUACCGUGAGGGAAAGGCGAAAAGAACCCCGGCGAGGGGAGUGAAAAAGAACCUGAAACCGUGUACGUACAAGCAGUGGGAGCACAGAGCAAUCUGUGUGACUGCGUACCUUUUGUAUAAUGGGUCAGCGACUUAUAUUCUGUAGCAAGGUUAACCGAAUAGGGGAGCCGAAGGGAAACCGAGUCUUAACUGGGCGUUAAGUUGCAGGGUAUAGACCCGAAACCCGGUGAUCUAGCCAUGGGCAGGUUGAAGGUUGGGUAACACUAACUGGAGGACCGAACCGACUAAUGUUGAAAAAUUAGCGGAUGACUUGUGGCUGGGGGUGAAAGGCCAAUCAAACCGGGAGAUAGCUGGUUCUCCCCGAAAGCUAUUUAGGUAGCGCCUCGUGAAUUCAUCUCCGGGGGUAGAGCACUGUUUCGGCAAGGGGGUCAUCCCGACUUACCAACCCGAUGCAAACUGCGAAUACCGGAGAAUGUUAUCACGGGAGACACACGGCGGGUGCUAACGUCCGUCGUGAAGAGGGAAACAACCCAGACCGCCAGCUAAGGUCCCAAAGUCAUGGUUAAGUGGGAAACGAUGUGGGAAGGCCCAGACAGCCAGGAUGUUGGCUUAGAAGCAGCCAUCAUUUAAAGAAAGCGUAAUAGCUCACUGGUCGAGUCGGCCUGCGCGGAAGAUGUAACGGGGCUAAACCAUGCACCGAAGCUGCGGCAGCGACGCUUAUGCGUUGUUGGGUAGGGGAGCGUUCUGUAAGCCUGUGAAGGUGUGCUGUGAGGCAUGCUGGAGGUAUCAGAAGUGCGAAUGCUGACAUAAGUAACGAUAAAGCGGGUGAAAAGCCCGCUCGCCGGAAGACCAAGGGUUCCUGUCCAACGUUAAUCGGGGCAGGGUGAGUCGACCCCUAAGGCGAGGCCGAAAGGCGUAGUCGAUGGGAAACAGGUUAAUAUUCCUGUACUUGGUGUUACUGCGAAGGGGGGACGGAGAAGGCUAUGUUGGCCGGGCGACGGUUGUCCCGGUUUAAGCGUGUAGGCUGGUUUUCCAGGCAAAUCCGGAAAAUCAAGGCUGAGGCGUGAUGACGAGGCACUACGGUGCUGAAGCAACAAAUGCCCUGCUUCCAGGAAAAGCCUCUAAGCAUCAGGUAACAUCAAAUCGUACCCCAAACCGACACAGGUGGUCAGGUAGAGAAUACCAAGGCGCUUGAGAGAACUCGGGUGAAGGAACUAGGCAAAAUGGUGCCGUAACUUCGGGAGAAGGCACGCUGAUAUGUAGGUGAAGUCCCUCGCGGAUGGAGCUGAAAUCAGUCGAAGAUACCAGCUGGCUGCAACUGUUUAUUAAAAACACAGCACUGUGCAAACACGAAAGUGGACGUAUACGGUGUGACGCCUGCCCGGUGCCGGAAGGUUAAUUGAUGGGGUUAGCGCAAGCGAAGCUCUUGAUCGAAGCCCCGGUAAACGGCGGCCGUAACUAUAACGGUCCUAAGGUAGCGAAAUUCCUUGUCGGGUAAGUUCCGACCUGCACGAAUGGCGUAAUGAUGGCCAGGCUGUCUCCACCCGAGACUCAGUGAAAUUGAACUCGCUGUGAAGAUGCAGUGUACCCGCGGCAAGACGGAAAGACCCCGUGAACCUUUACUAUAGCUUGACACUGAACAUUGAGCCUUGAUGUGUAGGAUAGGUGGGAGGCUUUGAAGUGUGGACGCCAGUCUGCAUGGAGCCGACCUUGAAAUACCACCCUUUAAUGUUUGAUGUUCUAACGUUGACCCGUAAUCCGGGUUGCGGACAGUGUCUGGUGGGUAGUUUGACUGGGGCGGUCUCCUCCUAAAGAGUAACGGAGGAGCACGAAGGUUGGCUAAUCCUGGUCGGACAUCAGGAGGUUAGUGCAAUGGCAUAAGCCAGCUUGACUGCGAGCGUGACGGCGCGAGCAGGUGCGAAAGCAGGUCAUAGUGAUCCGGUGGUUCUGAAUGGAAGGGCCAUCGCUCAACGGAUAAAAGGUACUCCGGGGAUAACAGGCUGAUACCGCCCAAGAGUUCAUAUCGACGGCGGUGUUUGGCACCUCGAUGUCGGCUCAUCACAUCCUGGGGCUGAAGUAGGUCCCAAGGGUAUGGCUGUUCGCCAUUUAAAGUGGUACGCGAGCUGGGUUUAGAACGUCGUGAGACAGUUCGGUCCCUAUCUGCCGUGGGCGCUGGAGAACUGAGGGGGGCUGCUCCUAGUACGAGAGGACCGGAGUGGACGCAUCACUGGUGUUCGGGUUGUCAUGCCAAUGGCACUGCCCGGUAGCUAAAUGCGGAAGAGAUAAGUGCUGAAAGCAUCUAAGCACGAAACUUGCCCCGAGAUGAGUUCUCCCUGACUCCUUGAGAGUCCUGAAGGAACGUUGAAGACGACGACGUUGAUAGGCCGGGUGUGUAAGCGCAGCGAUGCGUUGAGCUAACCGGUACUAAUGAACCGUGAGGCUUAACCUU
Molecule: ribosomal RNA, 2906 nt
Filed under: Escherichia coli
Lineage: Bacteria; Pseudomonadati; Pseudomonadota; Gammaproteobacteria; Enterobacterales; Enterobacteriaceae
Description: 23S ribosomal RNA
Rfam family: Bacterial large subunit ribosomal RNA
Source: RNAcentral